AUAGCGUAUAUUAAAGUUGUUGCAGUUAAAAAGCUCGUAGUUGAACUUCAGACCUGGCUGGAUGGUCUGCCUAACGGUAUGUACUGUCCGGCUGGGCCUUACCUCUUGGUGAGCCGGCAUGCCCUUCACUGGGUGUGUCGGGGAACCAGGACUUUUACCUUGAGAAAAUUAGAGUGUUCAAAGCAGGCUUAUGCUCGAAUACAUUAGCAUGGAAUAAUAAAAUAGGACGUGUGGUUCUAUUUUGUUGGUUUCUAGAGCCGCAGUAAUGAUUAAUAGGGAUAGUUGGGGGCAUUAGUAUUGCGUUGCUAGAGGUGAAAUUCUUGGAUUUACGCAAGACUAACUUCUG
This 346-nucleotide ribosomal RNA is filed under the name uncultured eukaryote. RNAcentral's name for it is "SSU rRNA". It matches the Rfam family "Eukaryotic small subunit ribosomal RNA", at positions 594 to 945 of the family's 1831-position model. The record is from RNAcentral.